RNAcentral lists this small nuclear RNA (102 nucleotides) under Eurypyga helias (sunbittern). RNAcentral's name for it is "U11 spliceosomal RNA". It matches the Rfam family "U11 spliceosomal RNA", at positions 1 to 107 of the family's 134-position model. The record is from Rfam by way of RNAcentral. Lineage: Eukaryota; Metazoa; Chordata; Aves; Eurypygiformes; Eurypygidae.
AAAAAGGGCUUCUGCCGUGCGUGGCACGGGGGGGUCUUGCGGCCGCCCCCGCGGAAUCGACAUCAAGAGAUUUCGGAAGCACAAUUUUUGCAGUGGGGGUCG